Molecule: non-coding RNA, 321 nt
Organism: Paramuricea clavata
Lineage: Eukaryota; Metazoa; Cnidaria; Anthozoa; Malacalcyonacea; Plexauridae
Source: the annotation of a GenBank genome assembly
CGAAGGAAAGAUCGCUGUGAAACUCAUCAGAAUAACAAUAUAACUCAUUAUCUAUGUUGCUCAACGUUUAUUCAUAAAUCUGGUGGUUUCACCGUCACAUGCAUGUAUUGUAUUUUUACCAAAUCCACCAAUAGCAAUUUCCAGUUCCCUAUUCGAAUCACGGAUAGGUGACUUUCCUAAGACAUUGCUAUUGGUUAUAUUUGGGCAAAAAUACAAUACACACGUGACGGAGAAACGACCAGAUUUAUGAAUAAACGUUGAGCAACAUAGAUAAUGAGUUAUAUUGUUAUUCUAAUGAGUUCCACAGCCAUCUUCCCUUCG